UACGUAGGGUGCGAGCGUUGUCCGGAUUUAUUGGGCGUAAAGGGCUCGUAGGCGGCGUGUCGCGUCGGGAGUGAAAGCCCGCUGCUUAACGGCGGGUUGGCUUCCGGUACGGGCAUCGCUGGAGUGCGGCAGGGGAGACUGGAAUUCCUGGUGUAGGCGGUGGAAUGCGCAGAGUAUCAGGAAGAACACCCGUGGCUAAGGCGGCUCUCUAGUAACGGUACUGGACGCUGAGACGCGAAAGCCGUGGGGAGCGAACAGG
Molecule: ribosomal RNA, 259 nt
Filed under: uncultured bacterium
Lineage: Bacteria
Description: partial 16S ribosomal RNA
Rfam family: Bacterial small subunit ribosomal RNA
Source: RNAcentral